Molecule: long non-coding RNA, 931 nt
Organism: Musa acuminata AAA Group (dessert banana)
Lineage: Eukaryota; Viridiplantae; Streptophyta; Magnoliopsida; Zingiberales; Musaceae
Exons: 2
Source: RefSeq, a predicted model, not a curated record
GCCUCGGCCAAGCUAUUUACUCUUCCCUGUAAAGAAGUGCGGUUGGAGGCUGCAAGAGAAAGGACGAAGCGGGAGAAGAGACAUUCGAACGGUGAGAAGGAUCUCGUUUGGUCUUCCUACGUUCGAUCGGCUUCUGCUUCUACCCGAUCAGGCCAAGCAGAAACAGAAGCGAUCGAUCGGGAGUGCUCACCGAAUUCUUUGAUAGGACGAUGGUGGGAAGGAGCGAUGCGGGGGACGUUGUCGUGGGAGAGGGGCAUGGGGUCGGAGCGCGCCGCCUCCUUGAAGUCCCCUAAGAGGAAGCCACGCCCAGUUCAGCGUCCUUACCGCACAUGUAACGAGCAGCACCACCAGCAGAAGCGCCACCCCGCCCCAUCCCGAGCUCCACCACAUCUCCGCUAAUACGAACGACAUCGACUGGACGUACGUCUCUCGGUGUUCGAAGGGGAGGAUACGGAAAGAUUAGCGUGCCGACGUCGGGUGAUGGAUUUGUCUCCGGAAGAUGACCACAGCGACAACGCAAAAAGGUUUGGAGUUACAUGGAAGCUGACAGAGAUGCUUACACUAACAUGGAAGCUGACAGAGCUACAGCGAUGGAGCUUGUGGUUAUUUGGGAGUGUUCAUCUUCCUCUCUCUGUUUCCCGUACUGUGCAACAAGGACAAUAAGGGAAAUGGCAGUUUCUGCGGCAAUGAGUAAUGCUACCAAAAAUAAUAAUGGAUAUAAUCAAUAGUAAAACAAAAAUUCAAAACAGUCGACCUUAAAACAGCCAUGGAAGAGCACUUCAAAUAUUUUUCUUAGGCAUCAUCUCUACAUUAAGGGUUGAGAUAAGAUUUGUAUACAUAAUUAAUUUUUCUUUCAAAUAAUUUGAUGCUCGAAGGAGUUUGAUUUCCAAUAAAUAAUACAAAUAUUACCAACCCUGGUAUUUCCAUCUUA